CGCACAUGCAGAUUCCAAGUGUUCUGAUCGAUAUAACUGCAGUCAUCAUUAUAACUGGAGUUUUCUUCGUAUUUAUCUGCAAAAUAAUACAUCAUGGGUGAGAGAAGACAGUAAUAUCAAGAAGAUUUCCAGAUGCUGUUCAAGAUCAGCCACAUCUGAAUUAUCGGAAACUCCUGGCUCUUUGGAUGGAGAUGAGAUGACCCCUACACAAGCCUCCAGCAGCCGGGGAGUGAGGUUUACCAAAGUAUCACAAACUCAGCCAACAAUACUUUCUGCCUGGAUAACCAGGAAGUAGAUG
Epinephelus fuscoguttatus (brown-marbled grouper) is the source of this 298-nucleotide long non-coding RNA. RefSeq lists it as uncharacterized. The record is from RefSeq and is a predicted model, not a curated record. The transcript has 3 exons. Lineage: Eukaryota; Metazoa; Chordata; Actinopteri; Perciformes; Serranidae.